This 329-nucleotide ribosomal RNA is filed under the name uncultured bacterium. RNAcentral describes it as "bacterial SSU rRNA". It matches the Rfam family "Bacterial small subunit ribosomal RNA", at positions 568 to 898 of the family's 1533-position model. The record is from RNAcentral.
UUCGUAGGCGGUGCGGUAAGUCGGAAGUGAAAUCUCUGGGCUUAACUCAGAGGCUGCUUUCGAAACUACCGUGCUAGAGUGCGGGAGAGGCGAGUGGAAUUGCAGGUGUAGCGGUGAAAUGCGUAGAUAUCUGCAGGAACACCCGUGGCGAAGGCGGCUCGCUGGACCGCAACUGACGCUGAGGAACGAAAGCUAGGGGAGCAAACAGGAUUAGAUACCCUGGUAGUCCUAGCCCUAAACCAUCAGGACUUGGGGUGGCCGCGUUGGCGGGUCGUCCCGGAGCUAACGCGUUAAGUCCUGCGCCUGGGGAGUACGGUCGCAAGGCUGAA